RNAcentral lists this ribosomal RNA (497 nucleotides) under uncultured bacterium. Its description in RNAcentral is "partial 16S ribosomal RNA". It matches the Rfam family "Bacterial small subunit ribosomal RNA", at positions 28 to 507 of the family's 1533-position model. The record is from RNAcentral.
GAUGAACGCUGGCGGCGUGCCUAAUACAUGCAAGUAGAACGCUGAAGGAAGGAGCUUGUUCUUUCCGGAUGAGUUGCGAACGGGUGAGUAACGCGUAGGUAACCUGCCUGGUAGCGGGGGAUAACUAUUGGAAACGAUAGCUAAUACCGCAUAACAGUAGAUGUUGCAUGACAACUAUUUGAAAGGGGCAAUUGCUCCACUACCAGAUGGACCUGCGUUGUAUUAGCUAGGUGGUGAGGUAACGGCUCACCAAGGCGACGAUACAUAGCCGGCCUGAGAGGGUGAUCGGCCCACCUGGGACUGGGACACGGCACAGACUCCUUAGGGAAGCAGCCGUAGGGAAUCUUCGGCAAAUGACGGAAGUCUUGACGAGCCAAGCCGCAGGAGUGAAGAAGGUUUUCGGAUCGUAAAGCUCUGUUGUAAGGGAAGAACGAGUGUGAGAGUGGAAAGUUGACACUGUGACGGUAUCUUACCAGAAAGGGACGGCUAACUACGUG